RNAcentral lists this ribosomal RNA (569 nucleotides) under uncultured bacterium. Its description in RNAcentral is "bacterial SSU rRNA". It matches the Rfam family "Bacterial small subunit ribosomal RNA", at positions 309 to 898 of the family's 1533-position model. The record is from RNAcentral.
CUCGCGAGAAAAAAAAACACUCCUACGGAGGCAGCAGUGGGGAAUAUUGCACAAUGGACGAAAGUCUGAUGCAGCAACGCCGCGUGGAGGAUGACACAUUUCGGUGCGUAAACUCCUUUUAUAUGAGAAGAUAAUGACGGUAUCAUAUGAAUAAGCACCGGCUAACUCCGUGCCAGCAGCCGCGGUAAUACGGAGGGUGCAAGCGUUAUUCGGAAUCACUGGGCGUAAAGGGUGCGUAGGCGGUUUGGAAAGUCAGAUGUGAAAGCCUACAGCUUAACUGUAGAACUGCAUUUGAAACUUCCAGACUAGAAUACUGAAGGGGCAGAUGGAAUUAGUGGUGUAGGGGUAAAAUCCGUAGAUAUCACUAGGAAUACCUAAAGCGAAAGCGAUCUGCUGGGAAGUUAUUGACGCUGAGGCACGAAAGCGUGGGGAGCAAACGGGAUUAGAUACCCCGGUAGUCCACGCCCUAAACGUUGUCCGCUGGCUUUUCGGAGUAUCGACCCUUCGAGAAGGCGAAAGCUAACGCGUUAAGCGGACCGCCUGGGUAAGUACGAUCGCGAAGGAAUGAA